Molecule: ribosomal RNA, 268 nt
Filed under: uncultured Verrucomicrobiota bacterium
Lineage: Bacteria; Pseudomonadati; Verrucomicrobiota
Description: uncultured Verrucomicrobia bacterium partial 16S ribosomal RNA
Rfam family: Bacterial small subunit ribosomal RNA
Source: RNAcentral
AGCGGUGGAGUAUGUGGCUUAAUUCGAUGCAACGCGAAGAACCUUACCAGGCCUUGACAUGCAUUAGACCGUACCUGAAAGGGUACUUUCCUUCGGGACUGGUGCACAGGUGCUGCAUGGCUGUCGUCAGCUCGUGUCGUGAGAUGUUGCGUUAAGUCGCGCAACGAGCGCAACCCCUGUCCUUAGUUGCCAUCAUUAAGUUGGGCACUCUAGGGAGACAAACCCUCUUUGAGGGUGGGAAGGUGGGGAUGACGUCAAGUCAGGAUGG